ACAGACACCAAUGACGAAAAAAGAAAUCCAAGCAGUGACCAGCUUCCAGAAGGAAAAAUUGUUGGUCUUCAAGAGCAAGAUCGUGAAUCUGCCGGAAUCAAAUUAACAGAUUUAGAGAAGGCCAAAUUGGAGGAAAUUCUAAAGCAGGGUGAAACUGAAGGUCGUCCAGAAGGAGAUGCAAAACUGGGUUACUUUGAAUUGGAAUCGGACGGGAAAAUUACAAAACAAAACG
Long non-coding RNA from Cloeon dipterum, 232 nucleotides. RefSeq lists it as uncharacterized. The transcript has 3 exons. The record is from RefSeq and is a predicted model, not a curated record. Lineage: Eukaryota; Metazoa; Arthropoda; Insecta; Ephemeroptera; Baetidae.